RNAcentral lists this transfer RNA (74 nucleotides) under Planctomycetota bacterium. RNAcentral's name for it is "tRNA-Asp". It matches the Rfam family "tRNA". Rfam says of the family: Transfer RNA (tRNA) molecules are approximately 80 nucleotides in length. Their secondary structure includes four short double-helical elements and three loops (D, anti-codon, and T loops). Lineage: Bacteria; Pseudomonadati; Planctomycetota. The record is from RNAcentral.
GGCCCGGUGGCGCAAUUGGUUAGCGCACCAGACUGUCGAUCUGGGGGUUGAGGGUUCAAGUCCCUUCCGGGUCG